ACUGUCUAGGAAAACGCGAACCUUUACCAAAUUGGCACUACACAUCCCCCAAUUUCGCAAACCCUCGCCGACCACAUGUUACCCUAACCUUAAUCCCAGUCCCUUUCCUUGUUACGAUUUUCAUUCGUCCACGCCACGCCACGCCUCUAAUUAAACGCGGUCGUUUUCCGGUGGGGAAUGUGCUUGUUCAGUUCAGAGCGGGGGAACAUGCCGCUAAUGCUGUCAUAAACCUCAAUACGUUUUAUGCCGGUUAGCUGAACUUUAACAUGAGUCGGCGAUGAUGCAAUGAGGUGGGUGUUGCUCCAGGAGUAAAUGGCCUAAUUGGUACCCGGAGGCCGGAGCAGCAUGGCGGUGUUGGCAAGGUUAUUGACAGCAGACAUGAUUUCAAUGAGGCCCACUUAUUGAGCGGGGAAGAGCUGCAGGGAAGGGCUGGAUUUGCGACUGAUUGAGCAGAGGAGUGGUGAUGACUGUCACAUGAUGGUCGCCUGAGGCAAAGAGGGAUCACAUGCCCUGCUGCCAAGUAUGGAAUGAAGUGAAGUUUAAGUGGUCGUCGUUCUAGAUCCAUUAGGGUGGCUAACACAAAAAAUUUGCCCUUUCACUCUUUGCUUUGUAAAUCAAGAUUGAAGAUAACAAGAGAACUACAUAAUAGAGAUUUUAAUCUUUUGUAGUCGUUGUUUGAUUUAAUAUAGUUAUUUUCUUUAUUAAA
Glycine soja is the source of this 706-nucleotide long non-coding RNA. RefSeq lists it as uncharacterized. NCBI's taxonomy places the organism in Eukaryota, Viridiplantae, Streptophyta, Magnoliopsida, Fabales, Fabaceae. The transcript is spliced from 2 exons. The record is from RefSeq and is a predicted model, not a curated record.